CUUGUAAAGGAAACCAGGGCUACACACGAGUAACACGGCAGUUUGCUACAUAAAGUAGAUAGAGUGUGUGAAGAAUAAACGAGAUCCUUUAAAGUAGUUAGAGAAAAAAGAAACGGUAUGUCAACGCUGAUAAAGUUUAAGCCAAUUAGCACAGUGAACAUAAAACAAGAAGCCGUUGAAUGGAAGAACUAACCGCGGGAGAUGACACAGCACCUUUACAUU
This 222-nucleotide non-coding RNA is filed under the name unclassified sequences. RNAcentral describes it as "RAGATH-8 RNA". It matches the Rfam family "RAGATH-8 RNA". The record is from Rfam by way of RNAcentral.